UACAACCAAGCCGUGUGCAGCCUUCUCCCUGGCACAGAACAGAAGCAGCUGCUCAAUGGUCAGCCUGUAGACUCAGGAGUCCCCUCGAAUUGACAAUGUUGGUUAAUCAUACUUUUAGAAUAUUCUAGAACAUCAGAAAUAUGAGAAAGGUAAACAUGAGGAAACCCUGUCUCUGAAGAGCAAGGUGAGCUUGUUCAAAGCCCCAGUCGUGUAUUUGAAAGUUCCCAUUCCUUGGUGCCUCUUUGCUCCAGUGGCAUCCUUGGAGGGGGAGCCUGCCCACUGGCCUCUAGUCCACACCUCUGCUAUUUUCCCAUUGCUUCUGUUCCUGCACUGGGUAUUGCCUGGCCUGUUUCAUUCUCUGAGCCAGCCAUUCCAGGAUUUCAUUGAACUUGGCUGUCCCAGUGAGAGGAAUACAGAGAAACCGUUUCCAAUUUAAAAGUGAAAAAGAAAGCUAGAAAGUGCUGUGUACUGGCCUCCUUCUACCAACAUCUCCCAAAGAGAGGUAGAGGGGCCUGCAGUGGCAUUAGAUGCUGCCCCUACACUCAGAAGUCCAUUCAGUAGGUAUGAAUAUCUGCAUUGUGAAAUCUACAGAGAGUCCCAAUUAGGAGCUGUUAUAGCUGUGAUGGAUUCAGGCAUAAACCAUAGUUGGGUGAGUUUGGGGACCGGCGUGUAAUAGCCAAGGUUGAAUGGGGGUGGGGGUAUGUUGUGUGUCCAGGAGGAGGUAGUUCCACUUUCCUAGUGCCUAGGGGUCACUCAAGCACCGGUGGGGUGGCGCGCAUCAAUAAUGAGACAGCACCAAAAAGAAAGGGCAGGUUUGCUCAUGAGGCCAUGUUCUCUUCUGACCCAUCUCCUCCCAUCUGCCUCCUGUCCCUAACCUGUCAUCAUAGGAACACAAAGCCUCAACAAAUGAAUACUUCCAUCUCCCACCCCUCCCCCAGUUGCUGCUCUCUCCAGCUGCUGUCUGCUAUGACUUCCUAUUCAGAAUGAUUCCAGAGAACCUUAUUCUGAAGGCCCUGAGUGCUGCUGGGUAGAAAAUGCUGCACGUCAGCCAGAGAGUGUGUUGGGUCCUCAUGUCCCUCAGACUUCUGGGUGCCUGUCCAUGUGCUACUUAGAGGCAGCAUUUACCCAGUUUCACCGACCUGCCUGGAUGUACCAAUGACCCAGCUAUGCUUGGCUGCCAGCAAUACUCCUUCCCCCUCAGACCUCAGGGAGCACAAUGUCUCCAACUGGAACAUGUUGUGAAACAGAAUGGUUCCCAUGAAGCCAAGGAUGGAAAAGAAACUAGGGAAAGCAAUCUUUAAGAGCUUAAUAGGGCUCACAUGAUUUUUGAAAGAGUUCAUAUAA
Long non-coding RNA from Nannospalax galili (Upper Galilee mountains blind mole rat), 1344 nucleotides. RefSeq lists it as uncharacterized. The record is from RefSeq and is a predicted model, not a curated record. The transcript is spliced from 3 exons. NCBI's taxonomy places the organism in Eukaryota, Metazoa, Chordata, Mammalia, Rodentia, Spalacidae.